CUUACAGGUUGGGGUAUCUACAUUUGUAUACAGGAGACCCUUCUAGAUGUGGGACUGAGCAGAAUUCUGAGAAGUCAGAGAAUUCUAGAUUCCAGCUUGACCUUCCAGGUUGUUAUAAAGGUAUACAUGUGUCAAGGUAGAAGGGAGAACAUUUUAAGUUUAGCCGUUGAUGCAUAACUUCCAUAUGAAAACACCUGGUAUAGGGCCUCCAUGUGUAUUACUGUCCUGGGCCCAUGCUCAUUACUAGAAGUUUGAAUUCACUUCCUUUGAGCCAGGCAGACCUCUUGCUUUCCUCAUUAUUUGUACCUGUCUUCCUAUUUCCCUGUCCUCUGUCUUCCUAAAUAUGCAUAUCUGAGCCUUAUUAGGAUAUAUAGCCAGGAUUGGUAGAGAUUUAGGGGGCUCCCUUUCCUCUCUCCCUUAAACCAUUUCCCCCACCUCAGGACAUGUGGGACAGAUGAUAGGCAGGGGCCAAGGGUCCUCUCUGGUCAAUGGCUGGCCUCCUUUUUUACCUCUUAAGAGGUUUGAAGAUAGUGGUAUCUGUGUAACUUCAUGGUAAGAAGAUAGAGCUCCGUUCUCCCACCAUGGUAACCCUAAGGCAAGGAAAGGGAGAACCAGGCAGGAGUCCCCAAACCCCAGUGUGGUAUAAGCUGACAUUUAGGAAGAACACAGACAACUGUCUCCGCUGACUGAAGGCCAAACAGAUACCCAUGGGCCAGGGAGUGCCUUGAAGACAGGGUGGAUGUCACUCACGUCUGUGUCCCUGGUGUGCGGUCCUGGCCUGUUUCCCUCAGGGCCAUUCUCUCCUCCCCUCUGUGGUGCUGCCGCUCUGCAUCACGGCAGGCUGACCCCCAAACUCCCAGGUCCGCUGGCUUCAGGUGGGAGAUGAGAGGAGCUGGGGAAAGAAGCCGGAACGUGUCUUCACACUCCACCGUCUCUGGCAGUAGCUGUGUUUCUGUGACUGGAGCCCACACCACACAGGCCCACUGUGGUCUCACCUUCCACUGCAUGCCCUGAUCCUGGUCACUCUGCUUCCUCCCUGGUCCCUCCAGUCUACAGGUGGCACACUUUCUGCUGUUGCUGCACUCUGGGUCGCUUCGCCAUCCAGUUAGAAUUCUCAGCUCUUCCAUUCCCUGUUACACAUUCACGGUGGUUCUGUGGGCUGGCUGCACCCCCGCUCAUACCCCAGUUCCCAGCACAGUGCUUGGCACAGAGUGUAACAGAAGGUUUGAGGGGUGGGGAACCUUGAAGAACACCUCUU
Molecule: long non-coding RNA, 1258 nt
Filed under: Piliocolobus tephrosceles (Ugandan red Colobus)
Lineage: Eukaryota; Metazoa; Chordata; Mammalia; Primates; Cercopithecidae
Description: lncRNA (ENSPTEG00000032979.1)
Source: RNAcentral